AGGUUUGGAGCACACCUGCACUGAUUGGCACCAGCACCUUCGCACCUGCACGUCAUCGCAGCAAUCACCACACUCUCUUAAGCCUCGCGCAGAGACAACUCCAGCGCCAGAUGAUUCCUGCUCUCUAAGUGUGUCUCCACGUGCCUUCAGUGCUCCGCUCAACCUCUGCCACGCUGCCACACUCUCGCACCAGACCCACUCUCAAGCCGCACCCGCUCCUCCUCACUCACAAGCCUUCAUGUCUCACUGGAUCCCUCACUCACUCCCCGGACCUGGAUUCCCUCCUCCCUCACGUCCGUGUUUCCCUAAUAAAACCUUUUAAACUGCUUCAGCUGUCUUCAGCUCUACUUCAAGACAAUUUUAUAUUGGUCUCAGAGAUCCUCAAAACAUGCCUGUGGAGUUUGUUGCUGAAAAAACAUUCCAGUAUUGGAUUUUUGCAUGUCUAAAAACCCCUCUGUGUCAGCCCUGCUCAGAACGAGCUGUUUCUGCUUCUGUGGCUUUAAAUGUUACUGAGCUGUUUGACUCCGUCCCUCUUAGGAAAUGGAUGUGGCUAGGAGAAGAGGGCUGAACUUUCUUCCCAGCGGGGAUGGCCAACUCACCACAUAACAUCAUGAGGGGUCGGAGAGUAUCACACCACAGGAAUCUGGCAAGAUAAUCUCUAGAACCAUCAGCUGGAGGUGCCUCUGGUCCAGCAGGCGGUAAGGAAGCUCCAGCUUGGUUUUCACCCCACAGGAGAGUUACCACCGGGGGCUGAUAGAUGGUGAAGAGGCAGAUCUCUGCAGGGAUCCCUGGAUCUACCCUGCAGCUCCUCUCCUUCCUCUCCCUCCCAACUGCUGGGUCAGGACAGAGACAAACUCCCUACAUAGCCUCCUCUCACACAAACACUUAGGAAUAGAAAUGUUCACACUAUGAUCGCCUGACUCAGUCAUCUCCCUGUGUUGCGGUGUAGAAGGGAGGCCUCCCUGGGCAGCUUUGGUCAGGCUUCUGAUUUUAUAUUAAUGAUGCUCUUAAUUUUGUUUUCUGGGAAUAAAUAAUCCAGUUUGGCUCUUUUUCCCCCACUGUUAUGCUGAGGUCAGACUACACAAUACAGUGCCUAUGAAAUGAUGUUAAACACUUCUAUUGAUGUUA
Molecule: long non-coding RNA, 1128 nt
Organism: Cheilinus undulatus (humphead wrasse)
Lineage: Eukaryota; Metazoa; Chordata; Actinopteri; Labriformes; Labridae
Exons: 4
Source: RefSeq, a predicted model, not a curated record